GACGAACGCUGGCGGCGUGCUUAACACAUGCAAGUCGAACGGAAAGGCCCUGCUUUUGUGGGGUGCUCGAGUGGCGAACGGGUGAGUAACACGUGAGUAACCUGCCCUUGACUUUGGGAUAACUUCAGGAAACUGGGGCUAAUACCGGAUAGGAGCUCCUGCUGCAUGGUGGGGGUUGGAAAUUUUCGGCGGUUGGGGAUGGACUCGCGGCUUAUCAGCUUGUUGGUGGGUUAGUGGCUUACCAAGGCUUUGACGGGUAGCCGGCCUGAGAGGGUGACCGGCCACAUUGGGACUGAGAUACGGCCCAGACUCCUACGGGAGGCAGCAGUGGGGAAUAUUGCACAAUGGGCGGAAGCCUGAUGCAGCAACGCCGCGUGCGGGAUGACGGCCUUCGGGUUGUAAACCGCUUUCGCCUGUGACGAAGCGUGAGUGACGGUAAUGGGUAAAGAAGCACCGGCUAACUACGUG
Molecule: ribosomal RNA, 468 nt
Filed under: uncultured bacterium
Lineage: Bacteria
Description: partial 16S ribosomal RNA
Rfam family: Bacterial small subunit ribosomal RNA
Source: RNAcentral